Molecule: transfer RNA, 72 nt
Filed under: Camelus bactrianus (Bactrian camel)
Lineage: Eukaryota; Metazoa; Chordata; Mammalia; Artiodactyla; Camelidae
Also listed under: 2 other names
Rfam family: tRNA
About the family: Transfer RNA (tRNA) molecules are approximately 80 nucleotides in length. Their secondary structure includes four short double-helical elements and three loops (D, anti-codon, and T loops). Further hydrogen bonds mediate the characteristic L-shaped molecular structure. tRNAs have two regions of fundamental functional importance: the anti-codon, which is responsible for specific mRNA codon recognition, and the 3' end, to which the tRNAs corresponding amino acid is attached (by aminoacyl-tRNA synthetases). tRNAs cope with the degeneracy of the genetic code in two manners: having more than one tRNA (with a specific anti-codon) for a particular amino acid; and 'wobble' base-pairing, i.e. permitting non-standard base-pairing at the 3rd anti-codon position.
Source: Rfam by way of RNAcentral
GUGGGUAGAGCUCAGUGGUAGAGCAUGUGCUUAGCAUGCAUGAGGUCCUGGGUUCAAUCCCCAGUACCUCCA